UGGGAAUAUUGCACAAUGGGGGGAAACCCUGAUGCAGCGACGCCGCGUGAGUGAAGAAGUAUUUCGGUAUGUAAAGCUCUAUCAGCAGGGAAGAUAAUGACGGUACCUGACUAAGAAGCCCCGGCUAACUACGUGCCAGCAGCCGCGGUAAUACGUAGGGGGCAAGCGUUAUCCGGAUUUACUGGGUGUAAAGGGAGCGUAGGUGGCAGGGCAAGUCAGAUGUGAAAUGCCGGGGCUCAACCCCGGAACUGCAUUUGAAACUGUCCGGCUAGAGUGCAGGAAAGGUAAGUGGAAUUCCUAGUGUAGCGGUGAAAUGCAUAGAUAUUAGGAGGAACA
RNAcentral lists this ribosomal RNA (336 nucleotides) under uncultured Lachnospiraceae bacterium. RNAcentral's name for it is "bacterial SSU rRNA". It matches the Rfam family "Bacterial small subunit ribosomal RNA", at positions 356 to 708 of the family's 1533-position model. Lineage: Bacteria; Bacillati; Bacillota; Clostridia; Lachnospirales; Lachnospiraceae. The record is from RNAcentral.